Molecule: ribosomal RNA, 440 nt
Filed under: uncultured bacterium
Lineage: Bacteria
Description: partial 16S ribosomal RNA
Rfam family: Bacterial small subunit ribosomal RNA
Source: RNAcentral
CCUACGGGUGGCAGCAGUGGGGAAUAUUGCACAAUGGGGGAAACCCUGAUGCAGCGACGCCGCGUGAGUGAAGAAGUAUCUCGGUAUGUAAAGCUCUAUCAGCAGGGAAGAAAAUGACGGUACCUGACUAAGAAGCCCCGGGUAACUACGUGCCAGCAGCCGCGGUAAUACGUAGGGGGCAGGCGUUAUCCGGAUUUACUGGGUGUAAAGGGAGCGUAGACGGCAAGGCAAGCCAGCAGUGAAAGGGCAGGGCUCAACCCUGUACAUGCUUUUGGAACUGGGGUGCUAGAGUGCAGGAGAGGUAAGUGGAAUGCGUAGUGUAGCGGUGAAAUGCGUAGAUAGUAGGAGGAACACCAGUGGCGAAGGCGGCUUACUGGACUGUAACUGACGUUGAGGCUCGAAAGCGUGGGGAGCAAACAGGAUUAGUACCCCUGGUAGUC